GGCGGGAUUACCCGCUGAGUUUAAGCAUAUCAAUAAG
RNAcentral lists this ribosomal RNA (37 nucleotides) under Merinthopodium neuranthum. Its description in RNAcentral is "partial 26S ribosomal RNA". Lineage: Eukaryota; Viridiplantae; Streptophyta; Magnoliopsida; Solanales; Solanaceae. The record is from RNAcentral. RNAcentral also lists the same sequence under 4 other names.